RNAcentral lists this long non-coding RNA (470 nucleotides) under Triticum aestivum (bread wheat). RNAcentral describes it as "long non-coding RNA (TAES_LNC020871)". The record is from RNAcentral. Lineage: Eukaryota; Viridiplantae; Streptophyta; Magnoliopsida; Poales; Poaceae.
GUUAACAUGUAAGUACAUUGUCUUGACGAUACGAACUAUUUUUGCUGUACAAAUUACACUAAUGAUACUCAUACUACUCUGCAGUCCCCAUGUAAUUGACACAAUCAAAUGCAUCAUAAUUCGUUCUGAUAUAUUUUAAUGGCUAAAAAUCAUUAAAUUCACCACACUAAGAGAUGGAACGGAUCAAAAGCGCAACACUACUAACCCAGGAACCCCCCAAAAGCUCUAAUUUUCACAGUUCUGUGCCAAGAGCAUCAUUUUGCAGGCGGCUGACACUUGCACGUCACAAAGUGUGGUUGAAGCGCCAUUCCAUUUGUUGGGGCUUCCUCCGCCGUGGCUGCUCAUUACUGCUGAUCAGCAGGAGUUGCUGGAGGAGGCGAUGGAUUACAACCCAUCAGGAGUUGUUCUUUAUUGGGUCUUGGUGCCUACCUCCAGAUUCGGUCCUGCAUGUAUUGACUUCUCAUUCCCUG